GAUGAACGCUGGCGGCGUGCUUAAUACAUGCAAGUCGAGCGAACGGACGCGAAGCUUGCUUCUCGGAUGUUAGCGGCGGACGGGUGAGUAACACGUGGAUAACCCACCUAUAAGACUGGGAAAACUUCGGGAAACCGGAGCUAACACCGGAGAAUAUUUUGAACCGCAUGGUUCAAAAGUGAAAGACGGUCUUGCUGUCACUUAUAGAUGGAUCCGGGCUGCAUUAGCUGGUUGGGAAGGUCACGGGCUACCAAGGGAACGAUGCGUAGCCGACCUGAGAGGGGGAUCGGCCACACUGGAGCGUAGACACGCACCAGAGUCCUGCGGGAGGCAGCAGAAGGGAAUCUUCCGCAAUGGGCGAAAACCUGACGGAGCGACGCCGCGUGAGUGAUGGAGGCCUUCGGAGCGUAAAACUCUGUUAUUAGGGAAGAACAUAUUUGUACGUAACUGUACACAGCUUGACGGUACCUAGUCAGAAAGCCACGGCUAACUACGUG
RNAcentral lists this ribosomal RNA (497 nucleotides) under uncultured bacterium. RNAcentral's name for it is "partial 16S ribosomal RNA". It matches the Rfam family "Bacterial small subunit ribosomal RNA", at positions 28 to 507 of the family's 1533-position model. The record is from RNAcentral.